RNAcentral lists this ribosomal RNA (466 nucleotides) under uncultured bacterium. RNAcentral describes it as "bacterial SSU rRNA". It matches the Rfam family "Bacterial small subunit ribosomal RNA", at positions 330 to 792 of the family's 1533-position model. The record is from RNAcentral.
UCCAGACUCCUACGGGAGGCAGCAGUGAGGAAUAUUGGUCAAUGGGCGGGAGCCUGAACCAGCCAAGUCGCGUGAGGGAAGACGGUCCUACGGAUUGUAAACCUCUUUUGCCGGGGAGCAACGGGGUCCUUGCGAGGGCCCAAUGAGAGUGCCCGGAGAAAAAGCAUCGGCUAACUCCGUGCCAGCAGCCGCGGUAAUACGUAGGUGGCAAGCGUUGUCCGGAUUUACUGGGUGUAAAGGGCGUGUAGCCGGGCCGGCAAGUCAGAUGUGGAAUCCCAAGGCUCAACCUUGGAACUGCAUUUGAAACUGUUGGUCUUGAGUAUCGGAGAGGCAGGCGGAAUUCCUAGUGUAGCGGUGAAAUGCGUAGAUAUUAGGAGGAACACCAGUGGCGAAGGCGGCCUGCUGGACGACAACUGACGGUGAGGCGCGAAAGCGUGGGGAGCAAACAGGAUUAGAUACCCCUGUA